AAACAUUCUAGUAGCUUAACCU
This 22-nucleotide transfer RNA is filed under the name Malayemys subtrijuga (Mekong snail-eating turtle). Its description in RNAcentral is "partial tRNA-Thr". Lineage: Eukaryota; Metazoa; Chordata; Testudines; Geoemydidae. The record is from RNAcentral. RNAcentral also lists the same sequence under 1 other name.